UCCCGAAUCAGUCUGUACCUGUUUUUGCCCUUCGCCAUCACGCACGCACGGGUUCGUAUUUGUCUUUGAAUGUUCUAAAUCUCUCUCUGAAUUAUCCUUAAUGCCUUGGAAGACCCAUUGUGUGGCCUAUGCAUUUAUCUCUGAGACAGUACUGCCCCCAUCAAAUGUGUGGGAAAGAUAUCAUGUGAUAUGAAAAGACUCUAAUAACUGAAGGUGAAUAUCAUACUAAGACAGUCUCGGGUAUGGAAAGGAUUUAUUGGC
Arabidopsis thaliana (thale cress) is the source of this 261-nucleotide long non-coding RNA. RefSeq annotates it as other RNA. The transcript has 2 exons. The record is from RefSeq. NCBI's taxonomy places the organism in Eukaryota, Viridiplantae, Streptophyta, Magnoliopsida, Brassicales, Brassicaceae.